Molecule: ribosomal RNA, 433 nt
Filed under: uncultured bacterium
Lineage: Bacteria
Description: partial 16S ribosomal RNA
Rfam family: Bacterial small subunit ribosomal RNA
Source: RNAcentral
AACGAACGCUGGCGGCAUGCCUAACACAUGCAAGUCGAACGAAACCUUCGGGUCUUGUGGCGCACGGGUGCGUAACGCGUGGGAACCUGCCCUUAGGUUCGGAAUACCUCCCCGAAAGGGGUGCUAAUACCGGAUAAUGUCUUAGGACCAAAGAUUUAUUGCCUUUGGAUGGGCCCGCGUUGGAUUAGCUGGUUGGUAGGGGAAAAGCCUACCAAGGCGCCGAUCCAUAGCUGGUCUGAGAGGAUGAUCAGCCACACUGGGACUGAGACACGGCCCAGACUCCUACGGGAGGCAGCAGUGGGUAAUAUUGGACAAUGGGCGAAAGCCUGAUCCAGCAAUGCCGGGUGAGUGAUGAAGGCCUUAGGGAUGUAAAGCUCUAUUACCCGGGAUGAUAAUGACGGUACCGGGUGAAUAAGCUCCGGCUAACUCCGUG